AUGAAGAUACCUCUUAAGAAUAAAAUCUUUGCAUGGUAUUUUCGUCGCGGAGUCAUUCUUAUUAAAGAUAACCUUAUUAAGAGGAAUUGGCAUGGAAGUCCGCAAUGUAUCUUUUGUCACCAUGACGAGACAAUAAAACAUUUAUUCUUCCAAUGCAAAUUGGCUCGUUCUGUAUGGUCAGUCAUCCAAGUAGCCUCUGGCUUGUAUCCUCCUUGUAGUGUUGCUAAUGUAUUUGGCAACUGGUUACAUGAGAUUGGUCACAAGUUUAGAACUUUUCUCAGGGUGGGAGCGCUUGCCGUUAUUUGGUCGCUUUGGCUAUGUAGAAAUUAUAAGGUUUUUAACGAUAAAAGUACUUCUCUGAUGCAGAUUAUCUACAGAUGUACCGGGACUCUUUAUUUAUGGUCCUCUCUACAACGCGUGGAGAAUCAAGACAUGUUUACGGUGGUGUGUACACGAUUGAAGGCUACGGCGAGGGAUACUUUUACCCAACAUGAGUGGCAGCAUAAUCUUAGGAUUGGCCCCCCUCCGUUUUAG
Molecule: ribosomal RNA, 534 nt
Filed under: Triticum aestivum (bread wheat)
Lineage: Eukaryota; Viridiplantae; Streptophyta; Magnoliopsida; Poales; Poaceae
Description: partial small subunit ribosomal RNA
Source: RNAcentral